RNAcentral lists this ribosomal RNA (301 nucleotides) under uncultured bacterium. RNAcentral describes it as "partial 16S ribosomal RNA". It matches the Rfam family "Bacterial small subunit ribosomal RNA", at positions 509 to 807 of the family's 1533-position model. The record is from RNAcentral.
CAGUCGCCGCGGGAAUACGGAGGGUGCGAGCGUUAAUCGGAAUUACUGGGCGUAAAGCGUACGCAGGCGGUGUUGUAAGACUGAUGUGAAAUCCCCGGGCUCAACCUGGGAACUGCAUUGGUGACUGCAACGCUGGAGUGUGGCAGAGGGUGAUGGAAUUCCGCGUGUAGCAGUGAAAUUCGUAGAUAUUCGGAAGAACACCAGUGGCGAAGGCGACUGACUGGACUAGUAUUGACGCUGAGGUGCGAAAGCGUGGGGAGCAAACAGGAUUAGAUACCCGCGUAGUCCCUGUCUCUUAUAC